AACGAACGCUGGCGGCAUGCCUAACACAUGCAAGUCGAACGAGACCUUCGGGUCUAGUGGCGCACGGGUGCGUAACGCGUGGGAACCUGCCCUUAGGUUCGGAAUAACUCCCCGAAAGGGGUGCUAAUACCGGAUAAUGUCUUCGGACCAAAGAUUUAUCGCCUUUGGAUGGGCCCGCGUUGGAUUAGCUAGUUGGUAGGGUAAAACCUACCAAGGCGACGAUCCAUAGCUGGUCUGAGAGGAUGAUCAGCCACACUGGGACUGAGACACGGCCCAGACUCCUACGGGAGGCAGCAGUGGGGAAUAUUGGACAAUGGGCGAAAGCCUGAUCCAGCAAUGCCGCGUGAGUGAUGAAGGCCUUAGGGUUGUAAAGCUCUUUUACCCGGGAUGAUAAUGACAGUACCGGGAGAAUAAGCUCCGGCUAACUCCGUG
This 432-nucleotide ribosomal RNA is filed under the name uncultured bacterium. RNAcentral's name for it is "partial 16S ribosomal RNA". It matches the Rfam family "Bacterial small subunit ribosomal RNA", at positions 29 to 507 of the family's 1533-position model. The record is from RNAcentral.